Molecule: transfer RNA, 73 nt
Filed under: compost metagenome
Description: tRNA-Glu
Rfam family: tRNA
About the family: Transfer RNA (tRNA) molecules are approximately 80 nucleotides in length. Their secondary structure includes four short double-helical elements and three loops (D, anti-codon, and T loops).
Source: RNAcentral
GGUCCAUUCGUCUAGUGGUUAGGACGCCAGGUUUUCAUCCUGGUAACAGGAGUUCGAUUCUCCUAUGGACUGC